AUAUCUCUCCGUACGGGAAGGAUGAGAAGCUUCGACCAAGGUUCGAUUCGAGCGCAGCGAGAAAACGUUGCCGCAGGCAACGACCCGAAGGGCGAAGCGCGCAGCGCUGAGUAAUCCUUCCCCCACCACCA
Molecule: small RNA, 131 nt
Filed under: Salmonella enterica
Lineage: Bacteria; Pseudomonadati; Pseudomonadota; Gammaproteobacteria; Enterobacterales; Enterobacteriaceae
Also listed under: 2 other names
Description: RtT sRNA
Rfam family: RtT RNA
About the family: This family represents a bacterial cis-regulatory element known as RtT RNA. The exact function of RtT is unknown although it is thought that it may be involved in changing the cellular response in relation to amino acid starvation.
Source: RNAcentral